GCAUAUCAAUAAGCGGAGGAAAAGAAACCAACAGGGAUUGCCCUAGUAACGGCGAGUGAAGCGGCAACAGCUCAAAUUUGAAAUCUGGCGUCUUUGGCGUCCGAGUUGUAAUUUGCAGAGGGCGCUUUGGCAUUGGCAGCGGUCCAAGUUCCUUGGAACAGGACGUCACAGAGGGUGAGAAUCCCGUACGUGGUCGCUAGCCUUUACCGUGUAAAGCCCCUUCGACGAGUCGAGUUGUUUGGGAAUGCAGCUCUAAAUGGGAGGUAAAUUUCUUCUAAAGCUAAAUACUGGCCAGAGACCGAUAGCGCACAAGUAGAGUGAUCGAAAGAUGAAAAGCACUUUGGAAAGAGAGUUAAAAAGCACGUGAAAUUGUUGAAAGGGAAGCGCUUGCAGCCAGACUUGCCUGUAGUUGCUCAUCCGGGUUUUUACCCGGUGCACUCUUCUAUAGGCAGGCCAGCAUCAGUUUGGGCGGUUGGAUAAAGGUCUCUGUCAUGUACCUCUCUUCGGGGAGAACUUAUAGGGGAGACGACAUGCAACCAGCCUGGACUGAGGUCCGCGCAUCUGCUAGGAUGCUGGCGUAAUGGCUGUAAGCGGCCCGUCUUGAAACACGGACCAAGGAGUCUAACAUCUAUGCGAGUGUUUGGGUGUCAAGCCCGAACGCGUAAUGAAAGUGAACGGAGGUGGGAACCUUUCGGGGUGCACCAUCGACCGAUCCUGAUGUCUUCGGAUGGAUUUGAGUAAGAGCAUAGCUGUUGGGACCCGAAAGAUGGUGAACUAUGCUUGAAUAGGGUGAAAGCCAGAGGAAACUCUGGUGGAGGCUCGCAGCGGUUCUGACGUGCAAAUCGAUCGUCAAAUUUGGGCAUAGGGGGCGAAAGACUAAUCGAACUAUCUAGUAGCUGGUUCCUGCCGAAG
RNAcentral lists this ribosomal RNA (912 nucleotides) under Phoma herbarum. RNAcentral's name for it is "LSU rRNA". It matches the Rfam family "Eukaryotic large subunit ribosomal RNA", at positions 38 to 966 of the family's 3401-position model. Lineage: Eukaryota; Fungi; Ascomycota; Dothideomycetes; Pleosporales; Didymellaceae. The record is from RNAcentral.